RNAcentral lists this long non-coding RNA (16492 nucleotides) under Gossypium barbadense (sea-island cotton). RNAcentral describes it as "long non-coding RNA (GBAR_LNC000483)". Lineage: Eukaryota; Viridiplantae; Streptophyta; Magnoliopsida; Malvales; Malvaceae. The record is from RNAcentral.
ACCGUCUAUGAAGUUUUUAAAAUUCCACAAACAAAUUGAAGAUACUACAUGUGUCUUGUAAGGUGUAGUGGGCCAAAUUUGCCCGGCCCGAAUAAAAACAAUAAAUGAUAUAAAAAUCUAGAUAUCAAUAGUCCAUUAUUUACAACCCAAAAUCAAACCAAAUUAACCCCAAUGUUUCAAGACCCAAAUUACAAAUCCAUUUACAAAAUGACAUAGCCCAAUACCCCAAACGGCCCAGAAACUGAGCCCCAUUUUGGCAAACCCUAGGGCAAGGGUCUCCUUGUGCCGCAGCCCUCACUAGCAGCCAAACCACAUUGCGCCAGACAACGCCUCCAACAGCACCAGCGCACAGCCCUCGUACGCCACGCCCGUACCUCCGUACGAUGCCAGCAGACUCCGUACCUGCGAAAAAGACACACAGAACAGCAGCGAAUAGGGAAGAAGAAAAUAGCAUUUUCAUUUUUUGAUUUUUCUUUCUUUUCGGCUAUAAAGGCCAUGUAAUAGCCUAGGUGAGUUUUUUACGCAACAUAAACGCACAAUAGGCCAUACAGACACAAUCAAUACAUUUUGAAAUACAAAAAAGCAACGAGCAUUCGAAGGUGAUUCCGAUUCAUAAUUUCUGAGAUUUUUUCCUUUUCUUCUUGGCUUAGUUUCAUUCUCCCUGGAAUUUCUUUUUGUUCUUUCGCAUUUUGGGUUGUAUAAAAGAGAGAGGAAAUGAAAUCUUACCCCGUGAAUACGCCGUGAGAUAUCCUCUGAUUCGUUGAAAUCGGGGUCCGAGAGGAGUAUAAGGCGGAAAGAAAACCAUCUUGAGGCUCGAACAGGCCGAUCUCCAUUCAUUGCGGUGGAUUGGCAUGGCAGAUGGAGGGUCAAGGUUCGUUUGAGGGGAGUAAAAAUGGAGGCUAGGGUUUGGAGGUGCUGGCUUAAUCUGCUGAUUGAGCCAUUUUAUAGGACCUCAAACUGUGUCGCAUUGACAUCAAAGCCCGACCCGAUUCGAUUCCAAACCCGAUGACCCGCGUGUUUUUGCGGUGAGGGACUAUUUGCACAUUAAAUCCCUCCCUUUUGCGCCACGUUUAAAUCAAUCCAUAUUUUUAUUCCAUUUCUUUUAAUUUAGGCUUGUAUUUUGAGCUCAUUUGCAAUGGGGUCCGCACAUGUACACAGCGUUUUGGGAGUCUGGAAUAAUUUCAGUUUUGAUCCUUGCAUAUUCGUAUACAUUAUGCGCUGGCCCUUAUCUGUAUUUACAAAUUAUCCUUCCAUUUUAACGUGGUUUCAAUUAGACCCUCUCUUUUAUGUGAUUUCAAUUAUUUUUUUUAGAUUCACCUCAUGUUUUAUUUUAUUUUACUUGUGUUCAUUUACUCGUGUUCAUCGUCUAACUUGCAUCAUUUACUUAUUGUAAUUUGGGUAACUAUGCUUUCAUAUUUUGCGUAUUACCUCAUGUAAUUGUUUUCUUUAUAUACGCUAUUGUACAUAUAUAUUUGUACUUUACAUUAAAGUCAAUUUCAUUUCAUAUAUAUAUACAUUGUUAACCUUAUGUUAUUUUAUACAUGUGUUGUCUUAAAUUUAUUAUUGUAGUUUAUUACAUGGUCCUAUAUAAUAUAUUUUCUCAAUUAUUAUUAUAUACAUAUAUGUUUAUAGAUAUCUAUACUUGAUAUCUAUAUAUAUAUUAUUAAAUCUAUGUAUUUUAUGCAUGUAGUUUUUCUCUUUUUUCAUAUAUGUAAGUAUAUUCUUCAAUUCAUUAUAUAAUUUAUAAUAAAAUCAGUUUUAGCUUGCAUAUAUUUCUAUGUUUUUUACAAAUAAUUAUUUUUUAAAAAAAGGGGGGUUAUUUAUAUAUAUAUAAUUUGUAGAUCCAUUGCAUUUUUGAAGAUUAUAUCGUACUAUAUAUUUUUAUUAUUACCGUUUUUAAUAUAUUUUACACAUACUUUAAAUUAUUAUUCUAUACAUCCUCGUUUUUUUUUUAAAAAUCAAUAUUAUUCUACGUUUUGGUAUGAUUUUCGAUUUAAACAUUCAUUUUAUAAUAUUUUUUAAAAUGAUUAAGCGUAUAUCCCUAGUUUUUCCUUUUUUACAAAUAAAUUUUAAAUGCACCAAUUCAUUAAUUUGCAUGUCAUAAAGAUUUUUGGUUCAUUAGAUCGCAUUUGUUCCGACAUCGUCUUAUACCACUUUGACUUCUAAAUUCUAUUUUGUUUUGCAUACGCUCUUUUGGUUGCUUUAUAUAUGUACAUUCCUUGCGUGGCAUCCACCUUAUUGAACUGUUAAUUACUCAUCAUAUAUGAUUGAAAUUAGGCUAUAAUUCCUAGAUUAAUUAUAUUUAAUUGCUUGUUCUGCUAGUUGAUUCAUUAAGUAUUGUAUCUCGUAUGUGUAUAUUACCUCAUUCAUCGUUUUCCAUUUGAUUUUCGAAAUGCGGUUUUAUAAAAUCCAAAUUUUAUGAUUAAUCUCGUACUAUUUCAAAUUGAAUUAAUACGUCUUAAGCUAGCUCUAUAAUCAUUCAUUCAAAAAUUCUUUAAAAACGAAGGCAAGAUUCGAUGUUUGGCAAUUCGUGGAAUCGUGCCCUAACGUGUUGGGUUGCGAUUUCGCGUUUGCUCAAAAUAAUCGAAUAUCACUUCGAAAUUUCACUCACGCCUUUUAAAAUUCCUCAAAACGAAGACGAGGUUUGAUAUUUAGCAAUUCGCAGAAUCGUGCCCUAACGUGUUGGGUUGCAAUUUUGCGUUUGUUCAAAAUAAUCGGGCUUCCCUUCAAAAUUCCAUUCAUAUCUCCUAAAAUUUUUUAAAUGAAGGCAAUGUUCGACGUUUGAUAAUUUGAGAAUCAUGCUCUAUCGCGUUGGGUUGUGGUUCCUGGUUUGCUCAAAAUGAUCGAACAUUCCUUUACAUUCUCACUCAUGUUUAUAAAAAAAAUACUUAAAAACGAAAACGAUGUUCAAUGUUUGGCGAUUUGAGAAUCGUGCCCUAUCGUGCUGGGUUGCGCUUUUUCAUUGGUCUGAAACAAUUGAAGAUCCCUUCAGAAUUUCCCUCGCACUUUCUAAAAUCUUUUAAAAUAAAGGCGAUGUUCGAUGUUUGGCGAUUUGAGAAUCGAGCCCUAUCAUGCUGGGUUGCGCUUUCUCAUUUGCCCAAAAUAAUCGAAUAUCUCCUCGAAAUUUUCACACGUAUUUUAUAAAGUAAGGCAAUGGUCAAUAUUUAGAAAUUCGAAGAAUCGUACCCUACUGUGCUGGGUUUCGAUUUUUCGUUGGACUAAAUAGUUGAGCAUCAUUCUGUAAUUCUCAAAUUAUAUACCUUCGGGCAUCGAAACAAGAAAUUUUGGCAACCAAGUCGGAUCACUCAAACGUUAUAAAAGGAACCACAUUUCAAAAAACUUUUAAUUUUAGACAUAAGGACAGUAUUUAAUUGACUUGGUACCAAUUUUGGGCGUAGUGAGGGUGCUAAUCCUUCCUCAUGCGUAACCGACUCCCGAACCUGUUUUCUCAAAAGUUCGUAGACCAAAAUUAUUGUUUUAAUAAACCAAAAAUGUUUAUUUAAACUAACCUCAUUUUUAGGUGAUUCGAUCACACCAAAAUAAAAGAUCGGUGGCGACUCCAUAUUUUCAUUUUCCAAAAAGUCGAUUCCACCAUUUUUCAUUAAAAUAAUUUUUUUUUAAAAUCGUGGGAUGGUUUCGACAGCUUGGCGACUCCGGUGGGGAUUUGAACUUGAGAGUCGAGCCAUAAAAAUCGAUUAUUUACUGUCCUUUUGUUAAAAAACCGAAAAUUUAUUUUAAAAAUCAUGUAUAUUUCGAUUGCAUUUGAUUGUAUGUUUGUGCGGGCCUUGUAGAAUAGCACUGCAUUUCAUUGCAUGACCACUGUGGUUACACCUUCUAAGUGGAAGUAAGAAGCUACGCUUUCGUGAGGUUUUCACCUCCGCAUGGGCUAGUGGAUUGCUUCCGGGGUACAUCCGUACCUAUGAUUUCGUGAGAUUUUCAUCUCUGCAUGGUCAUAGGGAAAUGUAUCCCCUCGAACCGAACUCGAUCUAUAUGAGCUUAUAAUGGGUGAGGAUUGAGGAAUCUGCUGGUUCGGGUACCCAUUUUCCUAGAACUAAACCACAUAUAGUGAACCUUAGGAGCUAUCCUUGGGUGGAGCCGCGUCGAACCUUAGUACUUACCCGUACAUGCGUUAUAAUCACCGUUUAUGUGCUUGCAUUCUAUUGCUAUUAUUUGAUACUAACCGAUGUUUUGUUUUGAUUGUCUUUUUUGCAUGACAUUGCAUAUUAAAGGAGGCGUUAAUCUACAUUCAAUUACUAAGUUAGAAAAUUUGACAUGGAGAAUGAAUUUUUUAGUAAAGUCGAGGAUAAUGCGGCCGUUCGUGCUUGGUCGGAGAGGCUACAAUCUGAGAGAGGGGAUAGCUUGGCAGAAGGGUAUGUGUCGGAGCUGUAGGAUUUCACUCGCGUCAAUGUAGUACAGAAUAAGCUGCAAUAGUUGAGAGACAUUUGGGUUAGUUGGGAUGAAAGGAUCAAGCAGUUGUUUUACCAAAGUUAUGGUGACAUAUCCUACCUGCUAGACAUUAAAGUGGAUAAGCAUUUGUUCCGAGCCUUGGUGCAGUUUUGGAAUUCCGCAUAUAAGUGUUUUACCUUUGGAGAAGUGGAUUUGGUACCUACCAUGGAGGAAUAUACUACGCUGCUUAGAUGUCCAAAGAUUCAGGUCUGGAAGACUUAUGCCCGGGUUUUUAGUAAUCAGGCUUUCGUGAAGAAACUGAUGAGCAUUUCUGGGAUGAGCGAGUCUUGGGUCACUGCUCGGAUUCAGCAGAAAGGAGAUAGCAAAUGUGUCCCUUGGGAGAAUUUGCGAGAUUUGAUCUUGACUCAUCUAGACGAAAGAAAGAGGGUCGAUAUAUUUGCCUUAAGCAUCUACGGAUUAGUGAUCUUUCCUACGGCUUUGAGGCACGUGGACGAGGCGGUCAUUGACUUGUUUGAUCGUCUUGAAAAGGGAAUCACACCGGUACCGGCAAUAUUGGCAGAAACGUUCAGAUCUUUGAGCUUAUGUCAGAAGACGGGUGAGGGGCGAUUUAUUGGAUGUGCUCAACUAUUGAUGGUAUGGUUUCAUGGGAACUUUUGGAAGGUAGACAAGGUUUCCUAUCGAGUCUUUUCCAAAGGUUAUUCCCCUUUGAAAGAAGAGGUAGCUAUACAGAGGAGAAAGGAUAUCUCAGAAGAGAAGUGGAUGGAUAUUUUUCAGAACCUUAAGGAGGAGGAUAUCGAGUGGAGUGCUUAUUGGAUGGUUCCUGAUGAGAUCAUGUACCAAUGUGGUAACUUUGAUUGGGUGCCAUUGUUAGGAAUUUGGGGAGCUACCGGGUAUACUCCGUUGAUAGCCUUGAGGCAAUACAAGUCGAGGCAGUUUGUACCCACGACCUAUGGACUUGCUCAGAGUGAAUUCUCGUUUAAAGGUGCUCACUAUUAAAAGAGAGUUCGGGAGUUAUCGGAUGCUUGGAAGCAAACUUGUUAGAUGAAGAGGUUAGCCGUCGGUUCUAUGGUAACGCCCGAGUACAGCAAGUGGUUUAAGAAGAGGAUUAAUGAUAAUAUUCCUAGGCCAAGCUUAGAGAAUGCUCGGCCUAUCGGGGAACAAUUACAAGUCGCCCCAUCAGAAUUGGAGAUUAUAAAACAAGAUUUCGAGAAGAAGAGUUUGGAGUUUGGUAAGAAGAUCGAACAAUUAGAGGAAGAGAAGAUGCACCUAAGAUUAGAGGCUGAUGUCCAAAGGUCAGAGGCUGAGAAGUGGAGAAAAGGAAAAACUAAGGCUGAAGAAGAUCUAGACAGUUUGAAAAUGGACUACAAAAAGUUACGCCUAUCUAUGAGGAUUGCGGGUUUAGGUAAGACUUCCGAACAAUGGCGCCAUGAAAUUCGGGAAGAAAAAACCAAUACCGACCGGUGGGAAAGGAAAUUUCGAGAAACUCAAGCACGAAACGAAGAUUUGGAGAAAAGUCUAUCAGAAAGCAGAAAUGAGCAAGGGGAAUUAAGGGCUAGAGUGGCAGAACUCGAGAAGUCCCUACAUCAGUACCGAAACCGCAACACCGUGACAGAAUUGAGGGCAAGCUUGAGCAAAAUACAAGAAAUGAAAGGAAGAAUAGAAGAGUUAGAGGCGUCACUGCAAAAUUGUGAUAUGCGAAUCCAGUUUUUUGAGGCAAACGAGGAUCGUUGGAAGGAGCAACUUCACCAUGCGCAAGGCCAAGUUAGAAAUAGGGAUUACCUUAUGGGAGAGGCCAUAACCCAGAUCCGGGAGGUAGCGGACUACUUGCAAACUCUAGCGGUUCAGGCAGACACACUAAGCGUGAAAUAUGAGUUAGAGUCGGAGCGCGAACAAGAGCUGGCCUCAUUGCUUAGAAAAAUUAGGACUUUGAGCGUUAGAGCAAAAUUAUAUUUGUAACUCGACUUUAUGUAAAAGAUUUUAUUUUCAAGUAAAAUUUUCUAAGGGCUGUUGAAUCAAAAUUGAUGCCUCCUUUACAUUCAUGCAUUUGCAUUACAUCAUAUCAUUAUGCAUUAAAGGCCAUUAGAGUUUUCUAAUUAAUUAACUAAAAAUUAUUUCAAUAACCUGGAAACCAAUGAAAACCAACCACGCACCCCUACAGUACAAGGAAAAAAUCAAUGGAUAAGAGACUCGAGAAAUUAGAGCGGAUGCAAAAAGACAUGCAAGAACAAAUACAGUCUCAGAUGCAAGAGCAGCUAGCCAAGAUUCAGUGAGAGAUGAAAGAGCAAAUGAUGGAGUCCCAGAGGGAAAUGAUGAGUCAGUUAUCCCAAUUGUUGUUGGGAGGAACGGAUAAGGGAAAGGGCCCCAUGGACAAAGUUGAAGAAGCUAAUGAGGAUCCUCAAUACCCCCUGGCUUCACUCUGACACAUGUACCGGUGAAGCUCGAGAUUAAUCUACCGAAGCCAUCUGUCACGAUCAUACCCCAGCAGGUUCAGGCUGGAGCUUCAAUACUGAUGAAUUUCCAAACCGGCUUAGGCUCCAACUUUGUCAACAACCCGAACUAUCCGCCCAUUCCCGAUUUGGAUGAAAUUGCUGAAGAAGAAAAGGCGAGGAUGGAUUCGCAAAAACAAUUGGAAAAACGGUGUAGAUGGCUCGAAGAGAAAUUUAAAGCCAUGGAAAGCGCGGAUCAUCAUCAAGGGAUUAAUGCCAAGGACCUAAGUUUAGUCCCAGAUUUAGUCCUUCCCCCCAAAUUCAAAAUGCCCAAGUUCGAGAAAUACAAUGGAACAAGUUGCCCUGAAGCUCAUAUCAUUAUGUUCUGCAGGCGAAUGACGGGAUAUGUUAACAAUGACCAGCUAUUAAUCCACUACUUUCAAGAUAGUUUGGUCGGGGCGGCGUCUAAGUAGUACAACCAAUUAAGCCGCUCUAAGAUUAACUUGUGGAAGGACCUGGCCCAAGCCUUUAUGAAGCAAUACAAUCACGUGACAGACAUGACCCCUGACAGAAUCACUCUCCAGAAUAUGGAGAAGAAAUCGAAUGAAAGCUUCAGGCAGUACGUAUAAAGAUGGAGGGAGGUGGCCAUACAAGUUCAGCCGCCACUUCUAGAAAAGGAGAUAACGAUACUCUUUAUAAAUACCUUGAAGGCCCCUUUUAUCACUCAUAUGUUGGGAAGCGCCACCAAGAGCUUCUCCGACAUAGUGAUGAUGGGAGAAAUGAUCGAAAAUGCUGUAAAGAGCGGCAAGAUAGAAUCGAGAGAGAGUGCUAGGAAGUUAGCCCCGAGGAGAAAAGACAAUGAAGUGAACAACACGAGCACAUUCAACAAGGGGCAGCCCAAGUCAAUUACCGUAAAUCAACCCAAAAUGGUGACUACCAAUCAACAAAGUUCUGUAAGGCAAGAAUCCAAUGCGAGGAAGAACAUAGAAAGGCCACAAUACACCCCUAUACCCAUGUCCUAUAGAGAGUUGUACCAGAACCUGUUCAACGCUCAUGUGGUAUCCCCUUUCUACCUGGAGCCACUGCAGUCCCCGUAUUCCAAAUAGUAUGACGCGAAUGCCCAAUGUGAGUACCACGCGGGAAUCACCGGGCACUCAAUCGAAAAUUGCACUGCGUUUAAGAAAGUGGUCGAAAGACUCAUUAAGGUGGGAAUCAUGAGAUUUGAUGACCCAGCCACGCCCAAUUUAGCAGGAAACCCACUCCCUAAUCAUACCGACCAAGGAGUGAAUGGGAUAAGUGAAGGCUUGAACAAGAAGACCAAGUAUGAGGUGGCAGAAAUCAGGACCUCGUUGAAGCGGGUAUGGAAAGAGAUGACUAAGAGAGGAUUGAUAGCAUUGGAUCCAAGGGAAGAACCCGAAGAAGAGAGAAACUACUGUGAGUUUCAUGACGAGGUGGGGCAUGAAAUCCAAGAAUGUGUGGAAUUCAUGGCCCUCGUGCAGAACAUGAUAGAUAACAAAGAAAUGGAAUUCUAUGAAGAAGCUAAAAGCCUCAUAGAGGGAAAUGUAUGCGCAUCCGAGGGAGAAUCAAAGGCGUAGAAUCAAAUGCCUAAUUAUCCCGUGGUGAUCAUUUCGAGACCCAAAAAUAAUGAAGCUGGAGUAAAAAUGCCAUCGAGGGUCAUAAUCCAAAGACCUGCAGUCUUCCCUUACAAAAACAGUAAAAAGGUCCCAUGAAAUUAUGAUUGCAGUGUGACGAUGCCGGGAAAAGAGAGCCCGGUUAGCGCUUCAAUAAGGGAUCAAGAUAGAGGUUCCUAUACACAUAGCGGGAGGCGUUACGAUACAAUGAAUGAGGAGGAACAGCCCACAAAAGAAAAAGCCCAGGUGGUCAAGGAAAUGAAGGAAAAAGCAACCAAACUUGUUAAUGAGCCAGUUAACGAAGACGAGGCCAAGGAAUUUUUAAAAUUCCUAAAGCACAGCGAAUACAGUGUGGUAGAACAGCUACGUAAACAACCAGCUCGCAUUUCAGUGCUGGCCUUGCUUCUAAGCUCGGAAGUUCAUCGUAGCGCACUAAUGAAGGUCUUAAACGAGACAUAUGUUGCCAAUGAUAUCUCCGUUAACAAGCUGGACCGGUUGGUGAGCAACAUAAGUGCCGACAAUUUUAUCUUCUUUAAUGACGACGAGAUACCACCUGGGGGCAUGGGGUCGACUAAAGCUCUGCAUAUCACCACACGCUGUAAAGGGUACACGCUACUAGGUGUACUGAUUGACAAUGGAUCAGCUUUGAACGUCCUGCCAUUGACCACGCUGAACAGAUUACCUAUAGACAGCUCUCACAUGAAGGAGUGCCAGAACAUCGUGAAGGCAUUCGAUGGCACGGAAAGAAAGGUGAUGGGCAGAAUCGAGGUACCUCUCUAGAUUAGGCCAAACACAUAUGAGGUGGAUUUUCUCGUGAUGGAUAUCAAGCCCUCAUACAAUUGCUUGUUGGGGAGGCUCUGGAUACAUUUAGCUGGGGCAGUACCUUCCCCGUUGCAUCAAAAAUUGAAGCUGGUGUCGGAGGGGAGGUUGAUAACGAUUAAGGCUGAAGAAGAUAUUAUUGCAACUGUGAGCAAUAAUGCACCCUAUUUGGAGACAUAUGACGAAGCAAUCGAAUGCUCAUUUCGAUCUUUGGAAUUUGUUAACGCGACGUUCAUCACCGAGGGAAGCAAAAUUUUGGUGCCGAAAUUGUCCAAAACCACGAGGAUGAGCCUCGAGUUGACGAUUGGAAAAGGGGCCCUACCCGGAAAGGGACUUGGGAGACAUCUACAAGGAAGGAUCGAAACGCCAAUGCUGAAAGAAAAGAGAGACCGCUUCGGCUUAGGAUUUAAGCCGGAUGUGAAACAAAGGAGAAGGGAGCCAGAAAAGAAGCAAGAAAGAAGGAGAGCUCGAUUAAUGGGGGAGCAAAUCAAGUGGGAACCAAUGACAUUCCCCCAUAUAUUGAAAACAUUUGUAUCCAGGGGAAUCAUUCAUCCUGAGAGAGACACGCCAAUGAUGGGAGCUAUAAAAGAAAGUCUGGAAAGUUUGGACAUCAACGUCAUGUACGAAAAGGAGACUGGAAGGGAAAAUUUGUCGGGCAUUUGCCCCUACACGCCUGGAAGUGUUCUGGACAACUAGAUUGCGGAAGAGAUCCUUGUAGUUUUUAGAACGGAUUCAGAGUAAUGUCCAAAACACACUUAUUGCUCUAGGCCUAGGAGUGAUAAGAAUCUUUUGUGAAAUAGGCUGAUGUUUAAAAACGAUAUUUCAAUAAAAUGCACAGUUAUUAUCAUUUUUGAGCAAAUGUUCUCUCGUCCUCUUAAUUUCAUUCAUAACCAUACAAAUGAUUACUUUCGGAUUCUUUUAUUCUUGAAACAUUCUUCUAAGUAUUCUUUCAUUCGUCAUUCAUAAUCAUAUCACGCAAAUAAAUGUUUCGAAUUCUUUUGAUUCUUUGUAUCUGCCUUCGUCCUUAUAACAGGUUCCCAAAUAUUAAUGAUACGAGUGACACUGCUAGCGACUCAGAAUUUCCUUUCGAGCAAGAUGUAUGUAUGGAUGAUUCUUAGGAUUUUGAAGAUGACCAAGGCUGUAACCUAUCUCUUGAUUUGUUGAAGAUGGAGGAACAAGACGAGAAAUAAAUCCUACCUCACAAAGAAUUAAUCGAAAUUGUGAGCUUAGGAGAAGGACAAGAGGUAAAGAUCGGAAUAAGUAUCACUGCGAAAAUGAAGCGAGACCUCAUUGAAUUACUUUAAGAAUUCAAAGGUGUCUUCGCAUGGUCAUACCAAGAUAUGCCCGGGUUGGACACUGACAUCGUGGUGCAUCGACUUCCCAUAAAAGAAUAGUGUAAGCCAGUUUAGCAAAAACUCCGAAGAAUGAGGCCCGAUGUCUUGCUAAAAAUAAAGGAAGAGGUUCGAAAGCAGUUUGACGUUGGAUUUCUGAAGGUGGUAAAAUACUCAGAUUGGGUAGCCAACAUCAUCCCUGUCCCUAAGAAAGAUGGAAAAGUGCUAAUGUGUGUAGACUACAGAGAUUUGAAUAAAGCCAGCCCAAAAGACAAUUUCCCACUGCCUCAUAUCGACACCCUAGUGGACAACAUGGCGGGACAUUCACUGUUUUCAUUCAUGGAUGAUUUUUUGGGAUACAACCAGAUCAAGAUGCAUCCUGAAGAUAUGAAGAAGACCAUAUUUGUAACCAUGUAGGGCACGUUCUGUUACAAGGUGAUGCCGUUUGGAUUGAAGAAUGCGGGGACAACUUAUCAAAGAGCUAUGGUAACCUUUUUUCACGACAUGAUGCAUAAAGAAAUCGAGGUUUAUGUCGAUGACAUGAUCGUAAAGUCUCGAACAGAGAAGGAGCACAUACAAGUCUUGAGGAAAUUGUUCUUGAGGUUGAGGAAGUUCCAGCUAAAACUCAACCCAGCCAAAUGUACCUUCGGAGCUAAAUCCGGAAAGUUGCUCGGAUUCGUGGUUAGUGAGAAAGGGAUUGAGAUCGAUCUAGACAAAGUUAAAGCCAUACAAGAGUUAUCCUCGCCGCGCACUAAAAAAGAAGUUCGAGGCUUUCUAGGAAGAUUAAAUUACAUUGCUCGGUUCAUUUCACAACUGACCGAGAAAUGUGGCCCUGUCUUUCGCCUCCUCAAGAAACAUAACCCAGGUGAAUGGGAUGAAGAAUGCCAAAGGGCUUUCGACAAGGUUAAACAGUACUUAUCCAACGCCCCGGUGCUGAUGCCACCUAACCCCGAUAAGCCGUUGAUACUGUAUUUGGCAGUAUUCGAGAACUCUAUGAGAUGCAUGCUGGCUCAGCAUGAUGAGUCAGGAAGGAAAGAAAAAGCUAUUUACUAUCUCAGUAAAAAGUUUACGGAAUGUGAGACAAUGUACCCGUCGAUAGAGAAGUUGUGUUGUGCCCUAAUAUGGACAACCCGCAGGCUGAGGCAAUAUAUGUUGUAUCACACCACUUGGCUCAUAUCAAAGUUGGACCCUUUAAAGUACAUGAUGGAGUCAACAACCUUAAAUGGAAGGAUGGCCCGAUGACAGAUUCUGCUUUCUAAAUUCAACAUAGUCUAUGUGAACCAAAAAGUAAUAAAAGGAAGUGCGAUAGCAGAUUUUCUAGCCAGUAGAGCUUUGGAAGACUACGAGCCUUUGAACUUCGACUUUCCGAAUGAAGACCUAAUGUGUAUUGCUACGACUGAAGAAGGUGCUCUGGAAGAACUUCUUUGGAAACUGAACUUCGAUGGGGCAUCAAAUGCUGUGGGCAAUGGAAUCGGGGCCGUCUUGGUAUCCCCAAAACGAGAUCAUUACCCAUUCACUAGUAAAUUGGAUUUUGAUUGUACAAAAAAUAUGGUGGAAUAUGAAGCGUGCAUCAUGGGUAUCCGUGCAGCCAUAGAACGUAAGAUUAAAGUGCGAGAGGUGUAUGGAGAUUCUGCGCUAGUGAUUUAUCAACUCAAGGGAGAAUGGGAGACUAGAGACCUCAAGUUAAUCGAUUAUCGGAAGCUGGUCCUUGAGUUGAUUAAAGAGUUUGAUGACAUUACCUUCCACUACCUUCCACGAGACAAAAAUCAGAUGGCUGACGCUUUGGCUACCUUAGCCUCCAUGAUCAAGGUGAACAAACAAGAAGAUGUCAAACCCAUCCGAAUGAACAUUUAUGAAAUUCCGGCCCAUUCUUACAAUAUUGAAAAAGAUGAAGAGAAAGAUGAUCACCCUUGGUAUCACGAUAUAUUGCAAUAUGUGAAGAAUCGUGAGUACCCGGACCAGGCAAGCGAGAAUGAAAAAAGAACGCUAAGAAGAUUGGCCAUCGACUACGUCUUAGAUGGGGAUAUAUUAUACAAAAGAAGAAAGGAUCAAGUGCUACUAAGAUGUGUAGACGCUGUAGAGGCUAGGAAAAUCUUGGAAGAAGUCCAUGAAGGCGUCUGUGGGACACAUGCUAAUGGCUUUACAAUGGCCAGGCAAAUUAUGAGAUUCGGGUACUAUUGGUCCACCAUGGAAGGAGACUGUGUCAAUUACGCUAAGAGAUGUCAUAAGUGUCAAAUCUACGGAGACAAAAUUCUUGUGCCUCCUUCACCGUUGCAUGUCAUGGUUUCUUCAUGGCCAUUCUCUAUGUGGGGCAUGGAUGUGAUUAGACCAAUAUCGCCGAAAGCUACCAAUGGGCAUCGAUUCAUCUUCGUGGUUAUCGACUACUUCACCAAGUGGGUAGAAACUGCUUCGUAUGCUAGUGUGACCAAGUCGGCAGUGAGCAAGUUUCUGAAAAAGGAUAUUAUAUGUCGAUAUGGAAUGCCGGAGAGGAUUAUAUCCGACAAUGCAUUAAACUUGAACAAUAGUACGAUAGCAGAAGUCUGCAGUCAAUUCAAGAACAGACAUCACAACUCGUCACCAUAUCGCCCAAAGAUGAAUGGGGCAGUGGAAGCGGCCAAUACAAACAUUAAGAAAAUUGUGGGGAAGAUGACCAAAACCUACAGAGACUGGCAUGAGAAGUUACCAUUUGCCCUCUUCGCUUAUCGAACGUCAGUCAAAACCUCAACUGGGGCAGCCCCUUUUUCUUUGGUCUACGGAAUGGAAGCGGUGUUGCCGAUCGAGGUCGAGAUCCCGUCCCUUCGAGUGUUGUUGGAGUUAAAUUUGGAAGAAGCCGAGUGGAUCCAAUCUCGAUAUGAUCAAUUGAACCUAACGAGGAAAAAAGGUUAAAAGCUAUUCGUCAUGGUCAGAUGUACCAAAAAUGAAUGAUGCAGGCUUAUGAUAAAAAGGUUCGUCCUAGAGAAUUCCACGAGGGAGACCUGGUUUUGAAAAAGAUUCUUCCCAUACAGAAAUAUUUUCGGGGAAAAUGGAUGCCUAAUUGGGAAGGGCCUUACGUAGUGAAGAAAGCUUUCACUGGAGUAGCAUUGAUUCUAGCCGAGAUGGACGAUAGAAACUUGCCCAAUCCUGUAAACUCGGACUCGGUCAAGAAGUAUUUUACCUGAAGAAAGAGAGGCCUGAGUGAAAACCCACAAAGGGUGCUCUGAAAUCCAAAAAAAAACCCGGAGAGGCCAAGGUGAAAACCCACAAAGGGUAUUUUGGAACCAAAGGGGCUUUUGAGUUGAAAACCCAAAAACGGGCAGCUCAAAUUUUGAAUAUGGGGCAUAUGGCGGUCUUGUCCUUCCAAAAUCAACAAGACAGAAGAACAUUACACCUUGGAGCAUCAACAAAAUACGCGGGAUCUCCUGAACACACAUUUGGUUCGAAUGAACCUUUGAGAAAUUAGAAUAGUGAAACUCGUGCUGCGAUAUCUGGGGCAUCUUUUUCUCAUUUUUCGCACCUUACCAGAUUCAUUAUCCUAUGUAUUCACAUCAAAAUUUGCUUAAUAAAAUGACAUUUGUCCAUUAUGAUAAUCUCUUUCGAGCAGUUUUGUCGAAAUCGCGAUUUUUGAACAUGUAAUAUCUACAUAAAAGAUGUUAUGCAUAUUACUCUGGAAAAGUCUCUAAAUAGUACAAGGACCUGAAACAGGGCCACUAGUCAGAACUAACCAGGUUCAAAGUUGGAAAAUAUUGGAAAAAGAGAAAUCCAAAUUAGGACUAUUUCUUCAAAUUUUCUGGCAGAGAUAACGGCUAAGUAAGAAAACGUGAUAGCACAUCAAUGAUGGAACCCGGACGAAUCAUGAGCAAUGAUACCUUAAACGUUUGAAGAGGAAUUAUUCUCAUAGCACUUCUACAUUCAUAAUCAUUCAUUUAGUUAGGAGCACUUGAUUCAUUUCGAUCAUAGCAUUCUAAUUAUCUGACAUAAACACCACAUCUAGUUAGGGACAUUUGAUUCAUCUCGAUCAUAGUAUCCUAAUUACUUGAUACAGGAAACCAAUUCUACAAAUCAUGUCUUUGGAAGACAGUGUAGUGACAUUGGCGAAUCCUACAGAUCCUGCUUCCCUGAAGUUGCAGUGGAGCAGAUCGAAGACGACAAAUCUUGACUUCCUGAAGUUGCAGUGAAGUAGAUUUAAGUCACUAACCUAGCUCCCUAAAGUUGUAGUGGAGUAGGUUGAGAUUUUAGAUCCUACUUCCCUGAAGUUACAGUGGAGCAGAUCAAAAACGACGAAUCCUGACUUCCUGAAGUUGCAGUGAAGCAGAUUUAAGUCACUAACCUUGUUCCCUAAAGUUGUAGUGGAGUAGGUUAAAAUUUUAGAUCUCGUUUCCCUGAAGUUGCAGUGGAGUAAAUCAAAGACAACGAAUCUUGACUUCCUGAAGUUGCAGCAAAGCAGAUUUAAGUCACUAACCUAGCUCCCUAAAGUUGUAGUGGAGUAGGUUGAAAUUUUCGAUCUCGUUUCCCUGAAGUUGCAGUGGAGCAGAUCGAAGACGGCGAAUCUGAGCUUCUUGAAGUUGCAGUGAAGCAGAUUUAAGCCACUAACCUAGCUCCCUAGAGUUGUAGUAGAGUAGGUUGAAAUUUUAGAUCUCGUUUCCCUGAAGUUGCAGUGGAGCAGAUCGAAGACGGCGAAUCUGAGCUUCCUGAAGUUGCAGUGAAGUAGAUUUAAGCCACCAACCCAGCUCCCUAAAGUUGUAGUGGAGUAGGUUGAAAUUUUAGAUUUUGUUUCCCUGAAGUUGCAGUGAAACAGAUCGAAGACGGUGAAUCUUGACUUCUUGAAAUUGCAAUGAAGUAGAUUUAAGCCACCAUCCUAGCUCCCUAAAGUUGUAGCGGAGUAGGUUGAAGAUUGUAGAUCUUGUCUCCCUGAAGUUGCAGUGGAGCAUAUUGAAGCUACUUGAAGAAAAAAAGUACCAAGAAGUCGAGGCUCAGCAGGUCCUGGCAAAUUUGGCCCAUUUAUAGUCUUUACUUUAUUCUCGUUACACGACAAUAUGCAAAGAAGGGCAGCUGUAGUGGGCCAAAUUUGCCCGGUCCGAAUAAAAAUAAUAAAUGAUAUAAAAAUCUAGAUAUCAAUAGUCCAUUAUCUGUCCAAUUACAACCCAAAAUCAAACCAAAUUAACCCUAAUGUUUCAAGACACAAAUUACAAGUCCAUUUACAAAAUGACAUAGCCCAAUACCCCAAACGGCCCAGAAACUGAGCCCCAUUUUGGCAAACCCUAGGGCAAGGGUCUCCUUGUGCCGCAGCCCUCACUAGUGGCCAAACCACAUUGCGCCAGACAACGCCUCCAACAGCACCAGUGCACAGCCCUCGUACGCCACGCCCGUACCUCCGUACGAUGCAGGCAGACUCCGUACCUGCGAAAAAGGCACAUAGAACAGCAGCGAAUGGGGAAGAAGAAAAUAGCAUUUUCAUUUUUUGAUUUUUCUUUCUUUUCGACUAUAAAGGCCAUGUAAUAGCCUAGGUGAGUUUUUUACGCAACAUAAACGCACAAUAGGCCAUACAGACACAAUCAAUACAUUUUGAAAUACAAAAAAGCAACGAGCAUUCGAAGGUGAUUCCGAUUCAUAAUUUCUGAGAUUUUUUCCUUUUCUUCUUGGCUUAGUUUCAUUCUCCCUGGAAUUUCUUUUUAUUCUUUCGCAUUUUGGGUUGUAUAAAAGAGAGAGGAAAUGAAAUCUUACCCCGUGAAUACGCUGUGAGAUCUCCACUGAUUCGUUGAAAUCGGGGUCCGAGGGGAGUAUAAGGCGGAAAGAAAACCAUCUUGAGGCUCGAACAGGCUGAUCUCCGUUCAUUGCGGUGGAUUGGCAUGGCAGAUGGAGGGUCAAGGUUCGUUUGAGGGGAGUAAAAAUGGAGGCUAGG